RNAcentral lists this unclassified non-coding RNA (220 nucleotides) under uncultured Rubrobacterales bacterium. RNAcentral's name for it is "contains 16S-23S intergenic spacer region". The record is from RNAcentral. Lineage: Bacteria; Bacillati; Actinomycetota; Rubrobacteria; Rubrobacterales.
UCCGGUUUGUCACCGGCAGUCUGGCGUGAGUCCCCAACUUAAUGCUGGCAACACGCCACGGGGGUUGCGCUCGUUGCGGGACUUAACCCAACAUCUCACGACACGAGCUGACGACAGCCAUGCAGCAUCUGUGGUGCACCCUCGAAGGUCACACGUUUCCGUGCGCUUGCAGCACCAUGUCAAGUCCAGGUAAGGUGGGGAUGACGUAGACGUCAUAACC